GACAGAGGUGGCAAGCGUUGUUCGGAAUUACUGGGCGUAAAGGGCGCGCAGGCGGUUUGCCAAGUCCCGUGUGAAAUCCCCCGGCUCAACUGGGGAACUGCGCGGGAAACUAGCGAGCUUGAGUUCGGGAGAGGGAAGCGGAAUUCCGGGUGUAGCGGUGAAAUGCGCAGAUAUCCGGAGGAACACCAGUGGCGAAGGCGGCUUCCUGGACCGACACUGACGCUGAGGCGCGAAAGCUAGGGGAGCGAACGGG
This 253-nucleotide non-coding RNA is filed under the name uncultured bacterium. RNAcentral's name for it is "partial 16S ribosomal RNA". It matches the Rfam family "Bacterial small subunit ribosomal RNA", at positions 524 to 776 of the family's 1533-position model. RNAcentral also lists the same sequence under 1 other name. The record is from RNAcentral.